Molecule: ribosomal RNA, 253 nt
Filed under: uncultured bacterium
Lineage: Bacteria
Description: partial 16S ribosomal RNA
Rfam family: Bacterial small subunit ribosomal RNA
Source: RNAcentral
UACGUAGGAGACGAGCGUUGUCCGGAGUUACUGGGCGUAAAGGGUGCGCAGGUGGCGGCGCGCGUGGGGGGUGAAAUCCCUCGGCUUAACCGGGGAACUGCGUCCGAUACUGGAUGGCUUGAGUUCGGGAGAGGGAUGCGGAAUUCCAGGUGUAGCGGUGAAAUGCGUAGAUAUCAGGAGGAACACCGGUGGCGAAGGCGGGUCUCUGGGCCGUAACUGACGCUGAGGAGCGAAAGCAUGGGGAGCGAACAGG